GUCUACGGCCAUGCCUCCCUGAAUGUAUCUGAUCUCAGAAGCUAAGCAGGGUCGAGCCUGGUUAGUACUUGGAUGGGAGACCACCUAGGAAGACCAGGUGCUGUAGGUG
This 109-nucleotide ribosomal RNA is filed under the name Pteropus alecto (black flying fox). Lineage: Eukaryota; Metazoa; Chordata; Mammalia; Chiroptera; Pteropodidae. The record is from RNAcentral.